This 1012-nucleotide long non-coding RNA is filed under the name Scleropages formosus (Asian bonytongue). RNAcentral describes it as "lncRNA (ENSSFOG00015032281.1)". The record is from RNAcentral. Lineage: Eukaryota; Metazoa; Chordata; Actinopteri; Osteoglossiformes; Osteoglossidae.
ACGUUACUGCAAAGCGUUACACCUUAAUGUGUGUUGAGUUGAUUCAGGGAUUACGUACUAAGAGCCAAUAAAGAGAAUGAGGAAUAAUUAGCUAUAUUAUUUAGCGGAGGUCUGUUGCUGGUGGUUUUUGGAGGAAGGUGUCCUCGCAGAUACAAAAGAGCGACGCACAGGAUUCAUGAAUCUUUCAUUAGAGGGGGAAUCAAGGGUCAGUACAAAUCAUCAAGCCUAAAGAAAAUAAAAGGAAAAAUAGAAGAAAUCAUCUGGGAAAACCAAGAAACGGGCAAUUUUCUGCAUGAAUGUGAAGCUGCAGAACCAUGAUGCCCAGCAACACAGAACAUCAGUUCUACAUCUGUGCUGUUUCGUUUUAGGAUUUUUUUUUUUUUUUUAUUAAUUUGUUUCCAGUUUUCAAUGAUAUGAUGAUAAUUUUGGCCUCUACGCAUUCAGUUUAAAUCUGCAAUUAGCAUCAUUUGAAAAAAACUAACAAAUUUUGGCAUUUUUGUGUGGAUGUGUAGUAUUUUCUCUAUAACUCAUAGCUGGAACAUUAGUAGUUUUUGUCGUGUAAAAAGAUGCACAAGUAUGAUUGCGUACAUUUAUUUUUCCCUUAAUAUGUAACAAUGAAAUACAAGCAGAGUCAUAUACAUUUGCUCUUUCAAUAUAAAAACUUACUGUGGGAUUGAAUAGAACUGCUAUUCAAGGAAGCAAGUAUAUAUUUUACAUGAAUUAUUUAUUCCCAAUUGUACAUGUACUUUUUGUUGACACAGAAAUACCUCUUACAUACGUCAGGUCCUCAGUUCAGUAAUUAGUGUACUUUUCAUUCUUAAGUCUUUUUCUCCCAUUGUUUCGUUAAAACGUGAGCACUUGGUAGCGUCAAGUGUUUGCGAAGUUAUACUAUUAGUGCGGUGCACUGAUGCUGUACAGGUAGUUCCACAAUAAUAAUAAGAUAUUAAUAGGGAUAUUUAAUUUUUAAUACCUACGUUUCUGGGGUGCCGAUUAAAACAACAGUUUUUUGCCU